Molecule: ribosomal RNA, 480 nt
Filed under: uncultured soil bacterium
Lineage: Bacteria
Description: bacterial SSU rRNA
Rfam family: Bacterial small subunit ribosomal RNA
Source: RNAcentral
AGGAUGAACGCUGGCGGCGUGCUUAACACAUGCAAGUCGAACGAUGAUCCGGUGCUUGCACCGGGGAUUAGUGGCGAACGGGUGAGUAACACGUGAGUAACCUGCCCUUAACUUCGGGAUAAGCCUGGGAAACCGGGUCUAAUACUGGAUAUGACUGCCGGCCGCAUGGUCUGGUGGUGGAAAGCUUUAUGCGGUUUUGGAUGGACUCGCGGCCUAUCAGCUUGUUGGUGAGGUAAUGGCUUACCAAGGCGACGACGGGUAGCCGGCCUGAGAGGGUGACCGGCCACACUGGGACUGAGACACGGCCCAGACUCCUACGGGGGGCAGCAGUGGGGAAUAUUGCACAAUGGGCGAAAGCCUGAUGCAGCGACGCCGCGUGAGGAUGAAUGCCUUCGGGUUGUAAACCUCUUUCAGUAGGAAGAAGCCCUUCGGGUGACGGUACUUGCAGAAGAAGCGCCGCUAACUACGUGCCACAGCCGC